GGGGGGAGGCCGGAUCCUGGGCUGUGUCCCGGCGCCCUGUGGUCCGGGGCCUGCGCUGUUGGAUUCGGGCUCCCGGCCCUGCAGCCCCCU
RNAcentral lists this microRNA precursor (90 nucleotides) under Canis lupus familiaris (dog). RNAcentral describes it as "mir-8799 microRNA precursor family". It matches the Rfam family "mir-8799 microRNA precursor family". The record is from Rfam by way of RNAcentral. Lineage: Eukaryota; Metazoa; Chordata; Mammalia; Carnivora; Canidae.